CUGUAUGUUUUAUUACUCUUUUUAGUGGUGGAAUUUUUGUUAGUCCUUUUACAAAUUUUGAGAAUUUUAACAUCUACUUUUUCCCCCUCGUUCUUUCCAAAUGAAAACUGUUACCAUUAUUUCUGUUUUGAAAGUAGUAUCAAAGGCUGUCUGUAUUUAUGUGAGCAACAUGCCAAAUAUUUUGAUAGCUUGUACUGUAUCUCUCCCAUUCCAUAUUUUGGUAUAAUUAUUAGGGAGCAGAUCAGAAAUUUUGCUACAUCUGAUCAAUAAUUAUGAUUUUUUUUAACCUUAGAGGAAUUAGAACUGUGUCAUUCAGUGAUGUGUAAUACUAAUACAUAGUUUUAAUAUCUUUUGUUAUUUCAACCACCAAACUCUCUAGUAGCUAAUUUUAGGACUUAUGUUAAUUAUCAAAACUGCUGUGUCUCGCUGUGUAACCAUUUCUGAGGCACCUGUAAAUAAUAUCUGAUAUUACAGAGAUGAUCCCAGAAAAAGCCUUUAGUGAAGGAAAAAACUUAAAACUUACUACACAUGUAGCCUCAUCAAAUUUGUUUCCCCAAAUGUAGAUAUGAGAGAAAGUGAGAUUUGUUUUCAUUGAUUGUGAAAGUGCAACAAGUCCUUCUCCCUCUAUGUUGUUGCUGACUACUGACAACCUGAAACCAAUAAUUCCACAAGGAAAGAAUACAAAAAUUAGCAACAUUUAUUACAAACACUUUCUUGUGUAGUCUUAGCAUUAUUCUUCAGUAUGUUGUAAUGUAGUGGUAAAAAUACUGACCAUUUAAUCCCUAAAAUCCAAGAAACUUAGUUUUCUAAUUAGAUCCUUAAGGUACUUAGUAGAGCUAACUACAUUUUGAAAGUCUUCUGUUUUAUAUUAUUCAGUAAAUGUUUGGGUGGAUAGCAGAUAUAUUUUUCUGGAUAAAUGCAUCCAAGUAUUUUAUUCUUUAGUUCAUUCUUAUUUUUAAAAGUCUUGAUCAUAUUGAAUGCUUCUGAGUUUUCUAUUAGAAUUUAGGAUAAGUAAUAUAAGCAAUACAAAUUUUCUCAUUAAUUUGAAGGAAUCGUUAAUAGAAUCAGUCUAAUUGUAAAAUACAUUACAUUUGAAAAACAGAAAUGUAAAUGUUUACUGUAACUUAAUACUAUGUCAGUUUAGAAGCUGAGUUUUCAUAUUUCAUUAUAAUCUUAAGAGUUAAGGGGAUUGAGGUUAGUAUUUAAAAAUUUGCUUUUCUGUUAUUUUGAUUAAAUAUAAAACCAUACUAAC
Molecule: non-coding RNA, 1252 nt
Filed under: Pongo abelii (Sumatran orangutan)
Lineage: Eukaryota; Metazoa; Chordata; Mammalia; Primates; Hominidae
Source: RNAcentral